RNAcentral lists this ribosomal RNA (468 nucleotides) under uncultured bacterium. RNAcentral describes it as "partial 16S ribosomal RNA". It matches the Rfam family "Bacterial small subunit ribosomal RNA", at positions 28 to 507 of the family's 1533-position model. The record is from RNAcentral.
GACGAACGCUGGCGGCGUGCUUAACACAUGCAAGUCGAACGGAAAGGCCCUGCUUUUGUGGGGUGCUCGAGUGGCGAACGGGUGAGUAACACGUGAGUAACCUGCCCUUGACUUUGGGAUAACUUCAGGCAACUGGGGCUAAUACCGGAUAGGAGCUCCUGCUGCAUGGUGGGGGUUGGAAAGUUUCGGCGGUUGGGGAAGGACUCGCGGCUUAUCAGCUUGUUGGUGGGGUAGUGGCUUACCAAGGCUUUGACGGGUAGCCGGCCUGAGAGGGUGACCGGCCACAUUGGGACUGAGAUACGGCCCAGACUCCUACGGGAGGCAGCAGUGGGGAAUAUUGCACAAUGGGCGGAAGCCUGAUGCAGCGACGCCGCGUGCGGGAUGACGGCCUUCGGGUUGUAAACCACUGUCGCCUGUGACGAAGCGUGAGUGACGGUAAUGGGUAAAGAAGCACCGGCUAACUACGUG